UUUUGCAGUGUGGGUUACCAGCACCUGGUUCAGCAGUGCUUCCAGCUGACGUGUUUGGCCUGUCUUCGGAGUUGUGAGAAAUCUGAUUGAGAAAGAAAAAAAGAAAAAGCCCACCCUGGCAGGAGAUGUCUUUCAAAUCCAAGCAAAUCAAAAACAUGUGCAAGAGAAAUCAACUAACCAAUAAUGGCUUUAUUUUGUCAGAUGAGCCGCAGCCUGAUGGCAGUGAUGAUCUGGUGAGGGCGUUUGUCUAAAGGUGGGCUGAAUCUGGGAAUUCCUCUGAGACAAGAGUAGAAGGUCCAAGGAAGCUGGUGGUCCUUGUGUUUCUGGAGAGUGUACAGCAUUAUAGCCAAACUGGUAAGUGAAGAGUUUAAUUGUUUUUCUUGAAAGUGUGGGGAGUUGCAGAGUAGCAAUAUUAACCCUAAAGUGGGGAAUUGCCUGUAUUCUGGGUAAUGCGAAAAUUUUUCACCAUUCAUUCUAAUUCCUUAGAAAAUCAAUGAAUACUCACAGAGAGUCUCAGAAGACUUCACAUUCUUGUACGUUUAAAUUUUCUACAGUAAUCUGAUUAAUUUAGAAAGUAGUAUUAGCAAUUGUUCUGCCACAUUCCCAUGGUCAUGUUUUCCUAAUACACUGUUAUUAACCUGUGAAUGGACACAUUUGAUACAAUUUAUUAUUAAUAUAUCACGUCAUUUCAUAAUGAAAGUUCAAUCUUUAGUCUUCAUUUUCACUUAAGGACUUUUCUGAUUGACUGUCUGGUCUCUCAAAGUAUCCAACCCUCAGCCCCCUGGCUGGGCAGAAAGGAAAAGACUUCAAGGAUAAUACUUAUUUUAAAUCCACGCUAUCUUCUCGUUGGGAACCUGUCAGUCCUGCAAGUUAAGCAGCCUUCGCUGGGGUCAGUAUUUAGAUAGGAGGUUAUCUAGGAACAUGGAAGCGCUACAGGAAAUGUUUGAGACUUCUUAUGUUGCACCGAAGUCUCAUCUGUCUUCAGUGUAAACAAGGUCUUCUUUGGGUGUGGAAGGAUGCCACUGCUUAGGGUUCUGUACGUCAGUAAGACAUAAAAUUGGUAUCUUAACUAUGUAUUGUCUUUUAAGACUCAAUGGUUCUUUCUCAAGGAAAAGAGUCGACAGAUCAAAAUUCAAUUAACAGUGGAUUCCUGUGCAGUUUUAGUGAGAUGACUUUCUCAUGUCAGUUUCAUUUGCUGGAGAGCAUUGUCAUUGCUUUGAUUCACUUCAAAUGCUGGUAUAUUUUAAUGGUGAGCAAAUAUAUUCUUGUUCACUGCUGUAACAUGAUUUUAAUGUUACGCAUCAGCUUUAGUUCCUUUGAAUGAAAGCUUAAACAGACCAAGUUGUGGCCUAGGAAGAAAUCACCCAGGUAUAGGAAAUUAAAGCUACAGCUAAUGGCAACUUCUCACUCAUGGCAGUUGGUGUAAUUUAGAGCUGUUCUUAAACCACUCUCCUUUAUGCAGAUGGCCUGGCUUAGCACCUGGCUGGCUGGCUGAAGGAAGUUUUAAAGAAUGCUUAGUGACAGAUCUGGAUCAGGAUACUGCAUAUUGACAUGGUUAUGAGACAUUUACUGUAGAAACUGACUGUUUUGAUUUAUCAAGAUGAUCUUGGGAGGCAUAAAAAAAAAGUGGAAAAAUUGGCUUCAUCUCAGUCAGCCUAUGGGAUGUUAGAAACAAUACCAGAAUAGGAAGUGCCUGGAACAAGAACAUAAAAGGUUUAAAAAGCUGUUUUCAAGAAAAUGUUAAUUAUUGCAGAGGAUGAGGCUGAAAGGCAGGCCCCACAGAAGAUUCUGAUAAAGCUGAACCUGACUCAGUUACCAUCAAGAGAUAGUAAUCCCUCUGUACUGUUGCUUUAACACUUUUUCCUUCCAUGUGCUGCAUUUGUAUUAAUAAACAGAGCAGUGAUUUUGUCACAAUGUCCCAGCACUGAUCUUGAAGAGAAGUACAGCAGUUGUUCAAAGACAAACUUGCUAGGUAAAUAUACUUGAUGCCCAAGGCACUGGAGGACAGGC
Molecule: long non-coding RNA, 2010 nt
Organism: Falco peregrinus (peregrine falcon)
Lineage: Eukaryota; Metazoa; Chordata; Aves; Falconiformes; Falconidae
Exons: 4
Source: RefSeq, a predicted model, not a curated record